AGAGCGAGUGCGUCCCCACCAGCCUGGCCGCCGCGGGAACUCGGGGACCGGGAGGGCGGGGGUUAGCGGGAGGAAAGGGUAAGCUGAAGAGGGGCUGGGAACGGGAGGGAGGCUCGGGGCGAACGGGCCGUCGCGUUCAUUUCCAUAAGAAAGCUGAAAUCGCAGUUGGAAGCAGGAUUUCUCGCCCCUGCAGCCCUUCCCCCAUACCCGGUUUUCUGCAAGAAGCGGGCUCCAGAGCUCAGAGCCCGAAGUGUGUGCUCUGGUCUUUGAUGAUGUUGAUAAAAUGUGGUUUCAAAUGUUGUCCCGAAGAGGCCGGUUUCCUGUCUGUAUGUGGAAUGGAAGGACCGUGCCGGGGCACCAAGAGGCACCCUGAGAACUCAGAGGACCCAGAGGCUCCCCUCAAGCAAAUUCCCUGCUGACCCUGGACACCCCUUGAAGGAGGGGGCAAGAGGCUGCCACAAGGCUCAUCUUAUAACUCCCAGCAAGGACUCCCAGCAAACAAGUUCAGCUUGGGAUCUGCCCACCACCAAGCCUGGCUGGGAGGUGGGGGGGAGCGAGGGGCGGUGGAGAGGCAGAGUCCCUGAACAGGGAAAAGACAAUCAGUUGUUCCCCUUUCUGGUGUCAGAGGCAAAGAAGCCUGAAGGGCUGGUGGUGGUGCUGGCUCUGGGUUUAUUGACUCUGUGAUCCUGUCCAGCUGUCCUACAGGGAGUUCCAGAGCUCUCCCAAAGUGCAUGAGGAACUGCACAAGUAGGACUGGGGCACAAUACCAGAAGCUAUUUGUCUCCUAGAACCUGGCACCCCCUCCACUUACCUUACAGGAGACCCACAUCACUCAGUUCCCAGGACACCUGGUGGGAGAGUCUGGUGAGAUUUGGAGGCAGACUUCCUCUACUCACAACUUGUUUGAAAAUGGACAUAAAGAGAAGAACAGACACUCCAUCGCCCCUUCAGGGCCUCCUUUGUGUCACAAAACCUAUCCCCUCCUAGGGCACCCUUGACAUUCCCCUAGGUGGGCCUACACAUUGUUCAGAACCUGUCCCCUGUACCAAAAUAAAUAUAAAUGAGUUUGUUUCUUUAAAAGAAAUAUUACAGCUUUAAACUUUUCCCAGCCGGAAUCCACCUAAUUUCAUCAAGGUCUCUCGCUAGCAGCCAUAACCCAGGCCAAAAGGGCUUGUCCCUAGGGAGGCACCAAAGGGAGAAUACCCCAGGCCCAUUUCAUUCCACUGAGGUUUUUGAACCCCUAGGUGUCUAAGGUAAUACCACCACCAUCCCCACCUGUUUUCAGUUCUUUCUUUGUGGCUUAAGAUUGCAUUUUUGGAGGGUUUAUGUAAUGUUGUUCACGUCAGCAAGUCUCCCUGCCCCACCCUCACCCCACUGUCCUAUAUGGAAUUAUAGUUGGAAACCACACACACAUAGAAAAUCUUUGAAGAUUUUUUUCUGCUAUUCUUCCUGACUAGAAGAGUUGACAAGACAUAGACACAUUCAGUUGCAUAAAAUACAGUAGCGUGAUCAGCCUAAAUGCAUCUCAUUUGCACUGUUUGUAACCAGGGGUGGGGGCUUGUGUCACUCAUUGCCUCCCCCUCCUCUGCCCAAACCAGACCCGCCAGCUGGAAUUUCAGAGCAGGCCCCAAGGCAGCAGCCAUUUGGGAAGUGGAAGCCCUAGCCCACCCCAGUCCAGCAGGGGUGCGGGGUGGAUAGAGAAGGUGUCUGGAGGUCUGGCCUGAGGGCUUGGACCAACUUUGGCAGACCUGGGCUCUGGGAGGCUUGGCCGGUGGGUGACCACAGCUGGAAGUUGGAGGUCUGCAGCGAUGCUUCUGAGCUUCUCCUGAGUUGAGUUCAAGAAAGGGGACACCAAGAAGUAGGGGAACAGUCACUGACUAUAUUUUACAUCCACGCCUACCCCUUUCCCAGAGUUGUGUUCUCACCACCCACUUUGUCGGCGGAGGAGAAACACUGCUGCCUGAUGCUUGCACUGCUGCACUGUUCUUGCACCUGCUCCUAGCCCUGAACUCGGGCCCUGAGCUCCUCACUGCCGCCCGCUCUGCGCUGAGCCCCACUCCUGAGACCGCGAGGUGCCAGAGCAGCGCCUCUCCCACCAACUCCUAGACGCCUGUAGGAGCUGCGCCGGAGCCUUCAGAACCCCAUGGGGGUGUGGGGGUGAAGUUGGAGGUCAUCCGGGUGAUUUUUUUCUUACUUUUUCCUAAUUGUUCUCCUGCGUUGAUUUCAACUCUUCCAGUCUCCCGGUGCUGGGGCGCCAAUCCUUUCCCAACAAUUCCUACCCACCAGCUGGAGGUCGGGGCCCAGGGUUACCCCAGAGUUCUAUGGUGGCAGGGGGCGCCGAGUAGAGGGGCGGGAGGAGCUGGGUCCUCGGGAACCAAAGGGGACCUCAGCGGGGGCGGAGUGCGCAGCCUUGGCUGCUGGGAAAUGCCCAACUAGCCGCUGUGAGUGCCCACAGCGCGUCGUGGGGGCGUCCGUUCUGCAGCUCGGGUGACUCAGACGCCCUGCCAACCCCACCAGCUCCCGGCUUCUCGAACGCUCUUCUGAUCGCCCAGCGGGGAGACUUCAGGGCCUGCCUCGUCAGGCCAGAUUGCAGCCCGCGACCUUCCCGGAUUAACCAAG
This 2619-nucleotide long non-coding RNA is filed under the name Homo sapiens (human). RNAcentral describes it as "non-protein coding LINC01159:11". The record is from RNAcentral. Lineage: Eukaryota; Metazoa; Chordata; Mammalia; Primates; Hominidae.